AUAAGACAUGCAAGUCGGAUCCCAUUUUCCGUUGUAGACAAUACGAUGGAAAGUCUAGUGGCGAACGGGUGCUUAACACGUGGGCAACCUGCCAGGAAGUGGGGGAUAGCUCGCCGAAAGGCGAAUUAAUACCGCAUGUGAUUAGAGAGGACAUCCUUUCGAAAUUAAAGUCGGGGCAACCUGACGCUUCUUGUGGGGCCCGCGGCCUAUCAGCUAGUUGGUGGGGUAACGGCUCACCAAGGCUUUGACGGGUAGCUGGUCUGAGAGGACGACCAGCCACACUGGGACUGAGACACGGCCCAGACACCUACGGGUGGCAGCAGUCGAGAAUUUUUGACAAUGGGGGAAACCCUGAUCGAGCGACGCCGCGUGGAGGAUGAAGGUCUUCGGAUUGUAAACUCCUGUCAUUGGGGAACAAGGUGCAUACGUUAACUGCGUGUGCAUUGAUAGUACCCGAAGAGGAAGAGACGGCUAACUCUGUGCCAGCAGCCGCGGUAAUACAGAGGUCUCAAGCGUUGUUCGGAUUCAUUGGGCGUAAAGGGUGCGUAGGCGGCGCGGUAAGUCGGGUGUGAAAUCUCGGAGCUUAACUCCGAAACUGCAUUCGAUACUGCCGUGCUUGAGGACUGGAGAGGAGACUGGAAUUUACGGUGUAGCGGUGAAAUGCGUAGAUAUCGUAAGGAAGACCAGUGGCGAAGGCGGGUCUCUGGACAGUUCCUGACGCUGAGGCACGAAGGUCAGGGGAGCAAACGGGAUUAGAUACCCCGGUAGUCCUGACAGUAAACGGUGCACGUUUGGUGUGGGAGGAUUCGACCC
RNAcentral lists this ribosomal RNA (813 nucleotides) under uncultured bacterium. RNAcentral's name for it is "bacterial SSU rRNA". It matches the Rfam family "Bacterial small subunit ribosomal RNA", at positions 48 to 838 of the family's 1533-position model. The record is from RNAcentral.